This 372-nucleotide ribosomal RNA is filed under the name uncultured organism. RNAcentral describes it as "partial 16S ribosomal RNA". It matches the Rfam family "Bacterial small subunit ribosomal RNA", at positions 527 to 896 of the family's 1533-position model. The record is from RNAcentral.
GUAGGUGGCAAGCGUUGUCCGGAAUUAUUGGGCGUAAAGCGCGCGCAGGCGGUCCUUUAAGUCUGAUGUGAAAGCCCACGGCUCAACCGUGGAGGGUCAUUGGAAACUGGGGGACUUGAGUACAGAAGAGGAAAGCGGAAUUCCAAGUGUAGCGGUGAAAUGCGUAGAGAUUUGGAGGAACACCAGCGGCGAAGGCGGCUUUCUGGUCUGUAACUGACGCUGAGGCGCGAAAGCGUGGGGAGCAAACAGGAUUAGAUACCCUGUAGUCCACGCCGUAAACGAUGAGUGCUAAGUGUUAGGGGGUUUCCCGCCCCCUUAGUGCUGCAGCUAACGCAUUAAGCACUCCGCCUGGGGAGUACGGCCGCAAGGCUG